UGGUCAGGACGAACGCUGGCGGCGUGCCUAACACAUGCAAGUCGAACGGGGAUUUGUUUCGGCAGAAUCCUAGUGGCGAACGGGUGAGUAACGCGUAGGCAACCUGCCCUCCGGCCGGGGACAACACUCCGAAAGGGGUGCUAAUACCGGAUACGAAGUCUGUGCCGCAUGGUACGGAUUUGAAAGAUGGCCUCUAUUUAUAAGCUAUCGCCGGGGGAUGGGCCUGCGUCCGAUUAGCUGGUUGGUGGGGUAACGGCCUACCAAGGCGACGAUCGGUAGCCGGUCUGAGAGGAUGAACGGCCACAUUGGGACUGAGACACGGCCCAGACUCCUACGGGAGGCAGCAGUGGGGAAUCUUCCGCAAUGGGCGCAAGCCUGACGGAGCAACGCCGCGUGAGUGAGGAAGUUCUUCGGAACGUAAAGCUCUGUUGUUCCUGACGAACCUCCCCUUUAUCAACAACGGAGGGGACUGACGGUAGGGAACGAGGAAGCCACGGCUAACUACGUGCCAGCAGCCGC
This 519-nucleotide ribosomal RNA is filed under the name uncultured bacterium. RNAcentral's name for it is "bacterial SSU rRNA". It matches the Rfam family "Bacterial small subunit ribosomal RNA", at positions 21 to 518 of the family's 1533-position model. The record is from RNAcentral.